This 201-nucleotide ribosomal RNA is filed under the name uncultured bacterium. RNAcentral describes it as "partial 16S ribosomal RNA". It matches the Rfam family "Bacterial small subunit ribosomal RNA", at positions 524 to 723 of the family's 1533-position model. The record is from RNAcentral.
UACAGAGGGUGCGAGCGUUGUCCGGAAUCACUGGGCGUAAGGGCGCGUAGGUGGCGACCCAAGUCGAUGGUGAAAGCUCGCCGCUCAACGGCGAGUCGGCCACCGAUACUGGGUUGCUGGAGCACUGUAGAGGCAGAUGGAAUUCCGGGUGUAGCGGUGGAAUGCGUGAGAGAGUCCGGAAGAACACCGGUGGCGAAGGCG